AAUUCUCAAAACCCACUUUCUUUGAUCUUUUCGAUCAAGAAAAGGAUUUUGGACUUGGAGGAUCAAUGCUCGCUCUCAGCUUUUGAAUGUGAGCUCCUCUUAAAUAAAUUAGUGGGGUCUGCUUUGCCGAUCCUUGACGUGAUAAGGUUAUUCUACGUUUUGGAUUUGGCACUGUCCCUUUAGACAUCUGCUUCUAACUGUCU
This 203-nucleotide unclassified non-coding RNA is filed under the name uncultured Russula. RNAcentral describes it as "sequence contains ITS2". Lineage: Eukaryota; Fungi; Basidiomycota; Agaricomycetes; Russulales; Russulaceae. The record is from RNAcentral.